UGAUAAUGGUGAGGAAAAUUCCAGAGCAUAGCCUUGAAUCUUUCCUAAGCAUGGUAAAGAUUCUCUUUAUUUUUAUGCCUGAAACUCAGAAUCUCACUUCUCAAAUA
This is a non-coding RNA of Capsicum annuum, 107 nucleotides long. NCBI's taxonomy places the organism in Eukaryota, Viridiplantae, Streptophyta, Magnoliopsida, Solanales, Solanaceae. The record is from Rfam.